CCCCAGACUCCUACGGGAGGCAGCAGUGAGGAAUAUUGGUCAAUGGGCGGGAGCCUGAACCAGCCAAGUCGCGUGAGGGAAGACGGUCCUACGGAUUGUAAACCUCUUUUGCCGGGGAGCAACGGGGUCCUUGCGAGGGCCCGAUGAGAGUACCCGGAGAAAAAGCAUCGGCUAACUACGUGCCAGCAGCCGCGGUAAUACGUAGGGAGCGAGCGUUGUCCGGAAUUACUGGGUGUAAAGGGAGCGUAGGCGGGGAUGCAAGUUGGGUGUCAAAACUACCGGCUCAACUGGUAGUCGCACUCAAAACUGCAGCUCUUGAGUGAAGUAGAGGCAGGCGGAAUCCCUAGUGUAGCGGUGAAAUGCGUAGAUAUUAGGAGGAACACCAGUGGCGAAGGCGGCCUGCUGGGCUUUUACUGACGCUGAGGCUCGAAAGUGUGGGGAGCAAACAGGAUUAGAUACCCGGGUA
RNAcentral lists this ribosomal RNA (466 nucleotides) under uncultured bacterium. RNAcentral's name for it is "bacterial SSU rRNA". It matches the Rfam family "Bacterial small subunit ribosomal RNA", at positions 329 to 792 of the family's 1533-position model. The record is from RNAcentral.